Molecule: long non-coding RNA, 735 nt
Organism: Schistocerca nitens (vagrant locust)
Lineage: Eukaryota; Metazoa; Arthropoda; Insecta; Orthoptera; Acrididae
Exons: 4
Source: RefSeq, a predicted model, not a curated record
CUGAAUUCUGACGUUCCAACCGUCAGUUUAUCCUCGGCGCGGCGAGAGGUAGCAAAAUGUCAAGUCGUGAUAUGUUGCUGGCGUUUUCUGAAGAAUUUUUAUCAGCUGUUGGUGACGUCAUAAAGUGUCUGUUCAUGAGUUACAACGUAACCAAACUGUCGCAGUCAUAUCUGAAUGAGUUUGAUUAUGCUGUGACCAAGCUUCUUGAUCUUCGGGAUGGUAUUCGCUUGUGUCGUGUUAUGGAAAUAAUACUGCAAGACGAAACCAUCAUGUCAAAGCUUAGAGCACCGGCUUGGUCAACACAAUGUAGGACUUGCGUUUGCAUCUCUAAUUUCGGCAGGCUUUGAUAUAAAAAGCAAUAUUACAUCACGUGACAUUGUAGAUGGUCACAGAGAAAAAACGCUUUCGUUACUGUGGCAGAUACUCCUGAAGUUUCAGCUACCUAAGUAUGAGGCUGCUGCAGUGAAGCUACAACGUUGGUGGAGAAGAAAUUUGAUCAUAACUAGUGAAGAAUAAGAAAAUCAGCUAUUACAAUUCAGCAGAAAUGUAGAGCAACAAAGUUAAUGAAGUAUGAAAGAAAUAUUUUUCUAAUGAAAAAAGCUGCUGCUGUAGUGAUACAAAAAUGGGCCAGGAAAGUACUGCCCGGGAAACAACAGAGGAGAAUUUUUAUUAGACAAAGGGAGAGUGCAGUAGUUAUUCAGAGGUGGUGGAGAGCAAUUUUAGUACAGCGGCAUC